GGCGACGUCACAGUGGCGCUACAGUGCCUGGAGCUGCGCUGGUUUUUCCUCGGAGUGGAGCCUGGUAACCGCGACUUCCCCGCCAUGUUCUGUGUGUUGCUGGCUGGAGAAGGGUGGUUGACAAACUCCGACCCAGCACAGUGUUUCUGUGGGUCAAAACUAGAAAACUAUGUCCAGGCUCGGCCGAGGCGGAAGGAUCCGUUCAGGCCAGGAGUUAAAGAGCUGCCUGGGCAACAUGGCGCGACCCCAUCUCUGUAGUCCCACCUCAGCUUCCCAGAUACUUGAACCCCAAGGUUCAAGGCUGCAAUGAGCUAUGAUCCCAUCACAGCACUCCAUCCUGCGAGACGGAGGUAAACCUUGUCUAAAAAAAUAAACUAUCCAAGUGUACAACAGGGAGGGACUGCUUAAAGAAAACAUGAUAAUUGUAUGUUCAAAUACUUUUAACAAGUGCAAAAUGUAUAGGCUGAAAUAAAUAGGGCUGGCCGGGCACGUUGGCUCACGCCUGUAAAUUCCAACAUUUUGUGUGCUCGAGGCAUUCCGAUCAGUAGACAUGGGUGAAACCCCAUGUCUACUAAAAAUAUAAAAAUUAGGCCAGGAACUUUGCAUCGUUUUAGGGGGCUCGCAUCUC
Long non-coding RNA from Homo sapiens (human), 628 nucleotides. Ensembl annotates it as long intergenic non-protein coding RNA 174. The record is from Ensembl. NCBI's taxonomy places the organism in Eukaryota, Metazoa, Chordata, Mammalia, Primates, Hominidae.